Molecule: ribosomal RNA, 595 nt
Filed under: uncultured bacterium
Lineage: Bacteria
Description: bacterial SSU rRNA
Rfam family: Bacterial small subunit ribosomal RNA
Source: RNAcentral
GCUCACCAAACCUACGAUGGAUAGGGGUUCUGAGAGGAAGGUCCCCCACACUGGUACUGAGACACGGUCCAGACUCCUACGGGAGGCAGCAGUGAGGAAUAUUGGUCAAUGGGCGCGAGCCUGAACCAGCCACGUCGCGUGAAGGAUGACGGCCUUAUGGGUUGUAAACUUCUUUUACAGGGGAAUAAAGUGAGUCACGUGUGAUUUUUUGCAUGUACCCUGUGAAUAAGCAUCGGCUAACUCCGUGCCAGCAGCCGCGGUAAUACGGAGGAUGCGAGCGUUAUCCGGAUUUAUUGGGUUUAAAGGGUGCGUAGGCGGGAUAUUAAGUCAGCGGUGAAAGUUUUCGGCUCAACCUUAAAAUUGCCGUUGAAACUGUGGUUCUUGAGUGCAGAAGAGGUAGGCGGAAUUCGUUGUGUAGCGGUGAAAUGCGUAGAUAUAACGAAGAACACCAAUUGCGUAGGCAGCUUACCAUACUGCAACUGACGCUGAGGCACGAAAGUGUGGGUAUCAAACAGGAUUAGAUACCCUGGUAGUCCACACAGUAAACGAUGAAUACUAGCUGUUUGCGAUACACUGCAAGUGGCCGAGCGAAAGC